AUGCUACAAACAAGGUCCAUGGGGCCAGGGCAGGCCACCCUACAAUUCUACAAAGUUCUUCUACAUAUCAUGCACGGAGAAGCACCGCGUCACUUGCUCCGUCAGCCAGUCCAUUGCGCUUCUCAGUCGCCCCGCUAUGCCGAUGGAUGCCACGACGAGCACAGCGAUGUACGCCGAGACCCCGACGACCAGCGCCAGGACGUACGCAGACGUCCUCACCCUCCGGCAGCUCCCAGCGGCGUAUGCACCCAUGAGUCCAAACAGGUCCAGGAUCAUGGCGGCGUGCAGCGCCAAGAGCGCCGGCGGCGUGUCGCUCACCCUCUUGAUCAGCAGGAGGACCAUGAUCACCAGGGACGCCAUGAAGGACGUCGCGUUGCAGUAGAAGAAGGCCUUGUACCGGCGUGGGUAGUUGCUCGUGAGAACCGGAUCGCCGGCGACGUGGCCGGUGGCGUCGCCCCAGAGGCCGCCCGGCGGGCUCAUCGCGGCCUGGUACGUGACGGCGGCGGCGAGCGCGGCGAGCAGCAGCAGGUACUUGGGCAGCUUCUCGUCCCAGAGAUCACGCGCCCCUCCGGCGGCGACGCCCGUGCCAUGCCGCCCGUCGCCUCCGGCUUGGUCUUCGCCCGCGCCGAGCUUUGA
Molecule: ribosomal RNA, 636 nt
Filed under: Triticum aestivum (bread wheat)
Lineage: Eukaryota; Viridiplantae; Streptophyta; Magnoliopsida; Poales; Poaceae
Description: partial small subunit ribosomal RNA
Source: RNAcentral